UACGUAGGUGGCAAGCGUUGUCCGGAAUCACUGGGCGUAAAGCGCACGUAGGCGGCUUUCUAAGUCAGGGGUGAAAUCCUGGAGCUUAACUCCAGAACUGCCUUUGAUACUGGAGAGCUUGAGUCCGGAAGAGGUGAGUGGAACUCCGAGUGUAGAGGUGAAAUUCGUAGAUAUUCGGAAGAACACCAGUGGCGAAGGCGGCUCACUGGUCCGGUACUGACGCUGAGGUGCGAAAGCGUGGGGAGCAAACAGG
Molecule: ribosomal RNA, 253 nt
Filed under: uncultured bacterium
Lineage: Bacteria
Description: partial 16S ribosomal RNA
Rfam family: Bacterial small subunit ribosomal RNA
Source: RNAcentral